Molecule: ribosomal RNA, 699 nt
Filed under: Bacillus altitudinis
Lineage: Bacteria; Bacillati; Bacillota; Bacilli; Caryophanales; Bacillaceae
Description: bacterial SSU rRNA
Rfam family: Bacterial small subunit ribosomal RNA
Source: RNAcentral
GGGGUAACCUGCCUGUAAGGACUGGGGAUAACUCCGGGGAAACCGGAGCUAAUACCGGAUAGUUCCUUGAACCGCAUGGUUCAAGGAUGAAAGACGGUUUCGGCUGUCACUUACAGAUGGACCCGCGGCGCAUUAGCUAGUUGGUGAGGUAACGGCUCACCAAGGCGACGAUGCGUAGCCGACCUGAGAGGGUGAUCGGCCACACUGGGACUGAGACACGGCCCAGACUCCUACGGGAGGCAGCAGUAGGGAAUCUUCCGCAAUGGACGAAAGUCUGACGGAGCAACGCCGCGUGAGUGAUGAAGGUUUUCGGAUCGUAAAGCUCUGUUGUUAGGGAAGAACAAGUGCAAGAGUAACUGCUUGCACCUUGACGGUACCUAACCAGAAAGCCACGGCUAACUACGUGCCAGCAGCCGCGGUAAUACGUAGGUGGCAAGCGUUGUCCGGAAUUAUUGGGCGUAAAGGGCUCGCAGGCGGUUUCUUAAGUCUGAUGUGAAAGCCCCCGGCUCAACCGGGGAGGGUCAUUGGAAACUGGGAAACUUGAGUGCAGAAGAGGAGAGUGGAAUUCCACGUGUAGCGGUGAAAUGCGUAGAGAUGUGGAGGAACACCAGUGGCGAAGGCGACUCUCUGGGUCUGUAACUGACGCUGAGGAGCGAAGGCGUGGGGGAGCGAACAGGGAUUAGAUACCCUAGAUAGUCC